RNAcentral lists this ribosomal RNA (256 nucleotides) under uncultured bacterium. RNAcentral's name for it is "partial 16S ribosomal RNA". It matches the Rfam family "Bacterial small subunit ribosomal RNA", at positions 524 to 776 of the family's 1533-position model. The record is from RNAcentral.
GACGUAGGUGGCGAACGUUAUCCGGAAUUAUUGGGCGUAAAGGGUGCGUAGAUGGCCUAAUAAGUUAUCGGUGGGAAAUCGAGGCCCAACCUCGUGGAAGCUGGUAAUACUGUUAGGCUUGAGUUCAGGAGAGGUUAACGGAACUCCAUGUGGAGCGGUAAAAUGCGUAGAUAUAUGGAAGAACAUCAAUAACGGCGAAGGCAGUUAACUAUUCUGUUACUGACAUUGAGGCACGAAAGCGUGGGGAGCAAAACGG